This is a small nucleolar RNA of Macrobrachium nipponense, 98 nucleotides long. The record is from RefSeq and is a predicted model, not a curated record. NCBI's taxonomy places the organism in Eukaryota, Metazoa, Arthropoda, Malacostraca, Decapoda, Palaemonidae.
CUGAAGACAAUAAUAUAUAAAAAAAAGUCCAUAAAUUCCGUGUGGAAUUUUAGUGCAUUCUAAAGGACAGAAAACUAUUGAUGUGGCUUUGUCUGUCC